GCAAAGAAGGAUAACAAAAGGUUUAGGGAUUAAUAAGGUACAUGUGGGUGCAUAGCCCCCAGUACCCU
RNAcentral lists this ribosomal RNA (68 nucleotides) under Zignisis sp. C013153. RNAcentral describes it as "partial 16S ribosomal RNA". Lineage: Eukaryota; Metazoa; Cnidaria; Anthozoa; Scleralcyonacea; Mopseidae. The record is from RNAcentral.